UACGUAGGGGGCAAGCGUUGUCCGGAUUUAUUGGGCGUAAAGAGCGUGUAGGCGGUCCGGUAAGUCCGCUGUGAAAGUCGGGGGCUCAACCCUCGAAUGCCGGUGGAUACUGUCGGGCUAGAGUGCGGAAGAGGCGAGUGGAAUUCCUGGUGUAGCGGUGAAAUGCGCAGAUAUCAGGAGGGAACACCGAUGGCGAAGGCAGCUCGCUGGAG
This 212-nucleotide ribosomal RNA is filed under the name uncultured bacterium. Its description in RNAcentral is "partial 16S ribosomal RNA". It matches the Rfam family "Bacterial small subunit ribosomal RNA", at positions 524 to 734 of the family's 1533-position model. The record is from RNAcentral.